AAUAAUUUAAUAAAUAUUGAAUUGAUGAAAAUUAAAAAUGGUGAAAGUGAUUGUUACAAAAAAAAAAUAUCGGGAAGAAUGGGAAAAAGAAGACUUUUUCAAAGGUGCAUUGGUCCCUCCAUUUAUUAUUUAUUAUAAAAUUUUUUGUAUUUUGUGGGAUGGCUGUGUAAAGCUCCAGAGAGCUUAAUCAGCUCUGGUCGAGGUGAAGCUUAUUGUAGAGUCUGCCGAAUUUCGUUACGGGUUCAAAAGCACGAUUUAAAAAAACAUCUGGUACUCAAGCUCAUUCUAAUAAAAUAGAUGCUUUGAAUAUAAAAAACAAUCAACUUUAACUAGCAUUGGAGUAUAUAAUGUAAAUGAUGCGUUAAAAUUAGCAGAAUUAAAAAUAGUUUUAAAUAAUGCUGCUCAUGGCUCUUUAAGGAGUAUCGAUCACCUGUGUGAAAUGCUUAAAGAAGUUGGUAAAGGAAAUCAGCUUACAAAAUUACGAUUACAUCGAACAAAAUGUUCAAAAAUCAUUCUGAAUGUCAUUGCGCCUGGUAUGUUAAGAGAGCUGCUCGAAGAUUUGGGUGAGGAAAGUUAUUCUUUGUUGCUGGAUGAAUCCACAGACGUACCAACAAUGAAAUAUAUGGCCUAUUGUAUCAGAUACUUCAGUAAAAAACAAAAAAAAAUGUUAACAGACUUUUUGGGCUUUAAUGAAGUCACUGUAGCUACAGCAGACCAAUUGUUUCUCGAUUUCGAAGAUUUUACAAAUAAACUUGGAUUAAAUAUGGAGAAACUUGAAGGGAUUGGUACUGACGGUGCGAGUAAUCUUUGUGGUGUGAACCACAGUUUAUACGUAUUGAUUAAAAGAAAGUAUCCACGAGUGCAGCUACUUAAAUGUAGUUACCACUCUUUGAGCUUAGUUGCAGCUAAAGCAUCAGAACAGUUACCCUCAAACUUAGAAUUUCCUCUUCAAAAUUCGAGAAACUGGUUUGUGAAUAGUUCAUUGCGCUUAAAUACAUAUCAUGAUUUGUACUCAAAAAUGGAAUCAGGGAAGAAACCUUCGAAACUGAUACAAUUGGAACCUACUCGUUGGUUGUCAUUGACUGGAGCUGUAACAUCUAAUUUAAAGCAAUGGGAAGAAUUAAAAAGUUAUUUUAAGUUAAUUAAAAAUUCA
Molecule: long non-coding RNA, 1153 nt
Organism: Microplitis mediator
Lineage: Eukaryota; Metazoa; Arthropoda; Insecta; Hymenoptera; Braconidae
Exons: 3
Source: RefSeq, a predicted model, not a curated record